Non-coding RNA from Schistosoma mansoni, 45 nucleotides. The record is from Rfam. Lineage: Eukaryota; Metazoa; Platyhelminthes; Trematoda; Strigeidida; Schistosomatidae.
AUCCACCUGACGAGUUCUACAUAGGAUGAAACGCGUGUUAUGCAU